UACAGAGGUCUCAAGCGUUGUUCGGAUUCAUUGGGCGUAAAGGGUGCGUAGGCGGCGCGGUAAGUCGGGUGUGAAAUCUCGGGGCUUAACUCCGAAACUGCAUUCGAUACUGCCGUGCUUGAGGACUGGAGAGGAGGGUGGAAUUCCUGGUGUAGCGGUGAAAUGCGUAGAUAUCAGGAGGAACACCGGUGGCGAAGGCGGCCCUCUGGACGGAUACUGACGCUGAGGUGCGAAAGCGUGGGGAGCAAACAGG
Molecule: ribosomal RNA, 253 nt
Filed under: uncultured bacterium
Lineage: Bacteria
Description: partial 16S ribosomal RNA
Rfam family: Bacterial small subunit ribosomal RNA
Source: RNAcentral